RNAcentral lists this unclassified non-coding RNA (296 nucleotides) under fungal sp. Its description in RNAcentral is "partial internal transcribed spacer region". The stretch from base 1 to 46 matches the Rfam family "Eukaryotic small subunit ribosomal RNA", at positions 1786 to 1831 of the family's 1831-position model. Lineage: Eukaryota; Fungi. The record is from RNAcentral.
AAGUCGUAACAAGGUUUCCGUAGGUGAACCUGCGGAAGGAUCAUCAAUAGUUCCAAAAAAUACCUUCUUGAGCACUGUUAUUAAUGUAUGAGGGCAUGGGUGAUGGUAUAUAUUAUCGUGAGAUAUAUAUGUAUGCCCACCCAUGUCUUUAGUUAUCAUAAACUCUUAAAAAUUAAUUGUCUGAAUAUAUUAUUGUGCUUUAUAUGUAUAUAUAUAUAUAAUUACACUAUAAAAUAUAAAUUGCAAUACAACUUGCAGCGAUGGAUCUCUAGGCUCUGGUGUCGAUGAAGAACGCC